RNAcentral lists this ribosomal RNA (423 nucleotides) under uncultured bacterium. Its description in RNAcentral is "bacterial SSU rRNA". It matches the Rfam family "Bacterial small subunit ribosomal RNA", at positions 608 to 1028 of the family's 1533-position model. The record is from RNAcentral.
CCCAACCCGGGGAAGCCGUCCAAUACUGCAGGACUUGAGGGCAGCAGAGGGAGGUGGAAUUCCCGGUGUAGCGGUGAAAUGCGUAGGUAUCGGGAGGAACACCAGUGGCGAAGGCGGCCUCCUGGGCUGUACCUGACGCUGAAUGCGAAAGCUAGGGGAGCAAACGGGAUUAGAAACCCCGGUAGUCCUAGCUGUAAACGAUGGAUGCUAGAUGUAGGGGGUGUAGAUUCCCUCUGUGUCGUAGCUAACGCGUUAAGCAUCCCGCCUGGGGACUACGGCCGCAAGGCUAAAACUCAAACGAAUUGACGGGGGCCCGCACAAGCAGCGGAGCGUGUGGUUUAAUUCGAUGCUACACGAAGAACCUUACCUGGGCUUGACAUGCAGGUAGUAGCGAAGCGAAAGCGGAGCGACCCUUCGGGGAGC